RNAcentral lists this ribosomal RNA (441 nucleotides) under uncultured bacterium. RNAcentral's name for it is "partial 16S ribosomal RNA". It matches the Rfam family "Bacterial small subunit ribosomal RNA", at positions 338 to 795 of the family's 1533-position model. The record is from RNAcentral.
CCUACGGGGAGCAGCAGUGGGGGAUAUUGCACAAUGGGGGAAACCCUGAUGCAGCGACGCCGCGUGGGUGAAGAAGUAUUUCGGUAUGUAAAGCCCUAUCAGCAGGGAAGAAAGAAGACGGUACCUGACUAAGAAGCCCCGGCUAACUACGUGCCAGCAGCCGCGGUAAUACGUAGGGGGCGAGCGUUAUCCGGAUUCACUGGGUGUAAAGGGAGCGUAGACGGCCGUGCAAGCCAGGAGUGAAAGCCCGGGGCCCAACCCCGGGACUGCUCUUGGAACUGUGCGGCUGGAGUGCGGGAGGGGCAGGCGGAAUUCCUGGUGUAGCGGUGAAAUGCGUAGAUAUCAGGAGGAACACCGGCGGCGAAGGCGGCCUGCUGGACCGCGACUGACGUUGAGGCUCGAAAGCGUGGGGAGCGAACAGGAUUAGAUACCCGGGUAGUC